UACGUAGGGAGCAAGCGCUGUUCGGAUUUACUGGGCGUAAAGGGCGGGUAGGCGGCCACCGCAAGUCAGUUGUGAAAUCUCUGGGCUUAACCCAGAAAGGUCAACUGAUACUGCGGGGCUAGAGUGCAGAAGGGGCAACUGGAAUUCUCGGUGUAGCGGUGAAAUGCGUAGAUAUCGAGAGGAACACCUGCGGCGAAGGCGGGUUGCUGGGCUGACACUGACGCUGAAAUGCGAAAGCUAGGGGAGCGAACGGG
RNAcentral lists this ribosomal RNA (254 nucleotides) under uncultured bacterium. RNAcentral's name for it is "partial 16S ribosomal RNA". It matches the Rfam family "Bacterial small subunit ribosomal RNA", at positions 524 to 776 of the family's 1533-position model. The record is from RNAcentral.